UACUGGCACAAUGGGCCAGUGCACCUGGUUACUAACCAGAAGGUUGGUGGUUCUGGCCCACCCAGGGAAG
This is a non-coding RNA of Podarcis lilfordi (Lilford's wall lizard), 70 nucleotides long. Lineage: Eukaryota; Metazoa; Chordata; Lepidosauria; Squamata; Lacertidae. The record is from the annotation of a GenBank genome assembly.